Molecule: ribosomal RNA, 902 nt
Filed under: uncultured Gammaproteobacteria bacterium
Lineage: Bacteria; Pseudomonadati; Pseudomonadota; Gammaproteobacteria
Description: bacterial SSU rRNA
Rfam family: Bacterial small subunit ribosomal RNA
Source: RNAcentral
CAAGUCGAACGGUAACAGCGGAAGCUUGCUUCCGGCUGACGAGUGGCGGACGGGUGAGUAACACGUAGGAAUCUACCUAGUAGUGGGGGACAACCCGGGGAAACCCGGGCUAAUACCGCAUACGCUCUACGGAGGAAAGCAGGGGAUCUUCGGACCUUGCGCUAUUGGAGGAGCCUGCGUCGGAUUAGCUAGUUGGUGGGGUUAAGGCCUACCAAGGCGACGAUCCGUAGCUGGUCUGAGAGGACGAUCAGCCACACUGGAACUGAGACACGGUCCAGACUCCUACGGGAGGCAGCAGUUAGGAAUCUUGGGCAAUGGGCGCAAGCCUGACCCAGCCAUGCCGCGUGUGUGAAGAAGGCCUUCGGGUUGUAAAGCACUUUCAGCGGUGAAGAAAAGCUCAGGGCUAAUACCCUUGAGUCUUGACGUUAACCACAGAAGAAGCACCGGCUAACUCCGUGCCAGCAGCCGCGGUAAUACGGAGGGUGCGAACGUUAAUCGGAAUCACUGGGCGUAAAGCGCGCGUAGGCGGUCUGUUAAGUGGGAUGUGAAAUCCCCGGGCUUAACCUGGGAAUUGCAUUUCAAACUGGCCGACUAGAGUACGGUAGAGGGAGGUAGAAUUUCCUGUGUAGCGGUGAAAUGCGUAGAUAUAGGAAGGAAUACCAGUGGCGAAGGCGGCCUCCUGGAUCGAUACUGACGCUGAGGCGCGAAAGCGUGGGGAGCAAACAGGAUUAGAUACCCUGGUAGUCCACGCCGUAAACGAUGAGAACUAGCCGUUGGGCCCCUUGAGGGUUUGUGGCGUAGCUAACGCGAUAAGUUCUCCGCCUGGGGAGUACGGCCGCAAGGCUAAAACUCAAAUGAAUUGACCGGGGCCCGCACAAGCGGUGGAGCAUGUUGUUUAAUUC